This 1076-nucleotide unclassified non-coding RNA is filed under the name Hevea brasiliensis (rubber tree). The record is from RNAcentral. Lineage: Eukaryota; Viridiplantae; Streptophyta; Magnoliopsida; Malpighiales; Euphorbiaceae.
GGUUUGGAAGAUUUAGUGAGGUGGCACAGCAGUUUAGUAUGCAAAAGAGCAACUCUACUCAUUCUGUAUUUUUUAGGCAUUCUGGAAGUGGUCUAAUCUUGCUUGUGGUAUAUGUUGAUGACAUUGUCAUUAGUGGAAGUGACUCUGCUAGCAUAUCAUCACUUAAGUCAUUUCUUCAAACUCAAUUUCAAACAAAAGAUAUGGGUUUGCUGAAAUAUUUUUUGCACUUUGAAGUUUCAAGAAGUACGAAAUGCAUCUUCUCGUCUCAAAGAAAGUAUGUCCUUAAUUUAUUGGCAGAGUCUAGAAAAUUAGAUGCUAAACCAUAUAAUGCACCAAUGACUCCUAACGUUCAGCUUACAGCAGGAGAUGGUGAGCUAUUUGAAAAUUCAAAGAGGUAUAGGAGAUUGAUUGGAAAGCUGAAUGAUCUAACAGUGAAUUGUCCAGAUAUUGCUUACUCUGUUAGUGUUGUUAGUCAGUUUAUGUUUUCCCCUACUGUUACUCAUUAGCAAGCUUUGGGACGGAUAUUGUGCUAUUUGAAAGGUGCUUCGGGUCGUGGUCUUUUGUAUAGCAAUAAUGGGCAUUUAAAUGUUGAGUGUUUUUUAGAUGCAGAUUGAGCAGGAUCAAAGAUUGACCGGAGAUUAACAACAGGGUAUUGUGUUUUUGUUGGAGCAAACUUGGCGUCGUGGAGGAGUAAGAAGCAAAGUGUGGUUUCUUGUUCAAGCGCUAAAUCAGAAUAUCGGGCUAUGGCAGAGUCAGAAUGUGAAGUUAUGUGGGUGCUUCAGUUACUGAAUGAGAUUGGUCUUAAGGUUCCAUUACCUCCAAAAUUAUAGUGUGAUAAUCAAACAGCUAUCCAUAUUGCUUCUAAUCUUGUAUAUCAUAAGCGAACUAAACAUAUCGAGAUUGACUAUCAUUUUAUUCGAGAGAAGAUUCAACAGAAUGUUGUCUCAACAGGGCAUGUCAAUACAGGAGAGCAAUUGGGAGAUAUUUUUACAAAAGCUCCAAAUGGAGCUCGAGUUGACUACAUUUGUAGUAAGUUGGGCAUAAUUAACAUUUAUGCUCCAACUUGAGGGGGAGUG